RNAcentral lists this ribosomal RNA (484 nucleotides) under uncultured bacterium. RNAcentral describes it as "partial 16S ribosomal RNA". It matches the Rfam family "Bacterial small subunit ribosomal RNA", at positions 30 to 507 of the family's 1533-position model. The record is from RNAcentral.
AUUGAACGCUGGCGGCAGGCCUAACACAUGCAAGUCGAGCGGAUGAAGGGAGCUUGCUCCUGGAUUCAGCGGCGGACGGGUGAGUAAUGCCUAGGAAUCUGCCUGGUAGUGGGGGAUAACGUCCGGAAACGGGCGCUAAUACCGCAUACGUCCUGAGGGAGAAAGUGGGGGAUCUUCGGACCUCACGCUAUCAGAUGAGCCUAGGUCGGAUUAGCUAGUUGGUGGGGUAAAGGCCUACCAAGGCGACGAUCCGUAACUGGUCUGAGAGGAUGAUCAGUCACACUGGAACUGAGGCACGGUCCAGACUCCUACUGGUGGCAGCAGUGGGGACUAUUGGACAAUUGGCGAAAGCCUGAUCCAGCCAUGCCGCGUGUGUGAAGAAGGUCUUCGGAUUGUAAAGCCCUUUAAGUUGUGAGGAAGGGCAGUAAGUUAAUACCUUGCUGUUUUGGCGUUACCAACAGAAUAAGCACCGGCUAACUUCGUG